RNAcentral lists this ribosomal RNA (496 nucleotides) under Micrococcus sp. SF0984-23. RNAcentral describes it as "bacterial SSU rRNA". It matches the Rfam family "Bacterial small subunit ribosomal RNA", at positions 372 to 878 of the family's 1533-position model. The record is from RNAcentral. Lineage: Bacteria; Bacillati; Actinomycetota; Actinomycetes; Micrococcales; Micrococcaceae. RNAcentral also lists the same sequence under 1 other name.
UGGGCGCAAGCCUGAUGCAGCGACGCCGCGUGAGGGAUGACGGCCUUCGGGUUGUAAACCUCUUUCAGUAGGGAAGAAGCGAAAGUGACGGUACCUGCAGAAGAAGCACCGGCUAACUACGUGCCAGCAGCCGCGGUAAUACGUAGGGUGCGAGCGUUAUCCGGAAUUAUUGGGCGUAAAGAGCUCGUAGGCGGUUUGUCGCGUCUGUCGUGAAAGUCCGGGGCUUAACCCCGGAUCUGCGGUGGGUACGGGCAGACUAGAGUGCAGUAGGGGAGACUGGAAUUCCUGGUGUAGCGGUGGAAUGCGCAGAUAUCAGGAGGAACACCGAUGGCGAAGGCAGGUCUCUGGGCUGUAACUGACGCUGAGGAGCGAAAGCAUGGGGAGCGAACAGGAUUAGAUACCCUGGUAGUCCAUCCCGUAAACGUUGGGCACUAGGUGUGGGGACCAUUCCACGGUUUCCGCGCCGCAGCUAACGCAUUAAGUGCCCCGCCUGGGG